UACAGAGGGUGCAAGCGUUAAUCGGAAUUACUGGGCGUAAAGCGUGCGUAGACGGUUAUGUAAGUCAGAUGUGAAAGCCCCGGGCUCAACCUGGGAAUUGCAUUUGAGACUGCAUAGCUAGGGUGCGGAAGAGGGUAGCGGAAUUUCGGGUGUAGCGGUGAAAUGCGUAGAUAUCCGAAGGAACAUCAGUGGCGAAAGCGGCUUCCUGGACCAGAACUGACGAUCAGGCACGAAAGCGUGGGGAGCAAACAGG
This 253-nucleotide ribosomal RNA is filed under the name uncultured bacterium. RNAcentral's name for it is "partial 16S ribosomal RNA". It matches the Rfam family "Bacterial small subunit ribosomal RNA", at positions 524 to 776 of the family's 1533-position model. The record is from RNAcentral.